GACGUAGGGCGCGAGCGUUGUCCGGAUUUAUUGGGCGUAAAGAGCUCGUAGGCGGCUCGUUGCGUCAACCGUGAAAACCCGCGGCUCAACCGUGUGGCUUGCAGUCGAUACGGGCAGGCUAGAGUUCGGUAGGGGAGACUGGAAUUCCUGGUGUAGCGGUGAAAUGCGCAGAUAUCAGGAGGAACACCGGUGGCGAAGGCGGGUCUCUGGGCCGAUACUGACGCUGAGGAGCGAAAGCGUGGGGAGCGAACAGG
This 254-nucleotide ribosomal RNA is filed under the name uncultured bacterium. RNAcentral's name for it is "partial 16S ribosomal RNA". It matches the Rfam family "Bacterial small subunit ribosomal RNA", at positions 524 to 776 of the family's 1533-position model. The record is from RNAcentral.